UGAGUGUCGGAACUAGUUCCAUUAAACA
This 28-nucleotide small RNA is filed under the name Bombyx mori (domestic silkworm). RNAcentral's name for it is "ovarian small RNA-32287". Lineage: Eukaryota; Metazoa; Arthropoda; Insecta; Lepidoptera; Bombycidae. The record is from RNAcentral.